AUAUUCCAUAUGUUUUACAACAGCAGCUGACUUAUAACCUUACCCUUGCUGGGAGGAUGUUAGUGAGAGAGCUGGCAGUGUUAAACACACAGAUGUUCAUGAUGGAUCAGCCUGUUCUCAUCUGUUUCACUCUUGUUGGGAGGAUGGUGUGGGAGGAACUGUCUUCUCAAACUGAACAGGUAUCCAUUCAUAUGCAGAUACUUCAGAUGUUUCCUUAACCUUUGAACACAGACCUGUG
Molecule: long non-coding RNA, 238 nt
Filed under: Salmo trutta (river trout)
Lineage: Eukaryota; Metazoa; Chordata; Actinopteri; Salmoniformes; Salmonidae
Description: lncRNA (ENSSTUG00000041212.1)
Source: RNAcentral